GUGAAUCAUCAAAUCUUUGAACGCAAAUUGCACUUUCUGGUAUUCCGGAGAGUAUGCCUGUUUGAGGGUCAGUUUAAUUAAAAUUCGUUUUGGUGCUUCUCUUUGUUGUUACGCGUCGGAAUUGAGUUGUCUUACCUUCGGUUAAGUGACUUUAAAUUUUGCAUUGUUUUCGUUCGUAUUUAUUUAUCUGACUUACGUUUGAUUUGUCAUAUACUUUAUUAGGUGCGGUCAUCCUCAUGAUUCGCGCCUAUAAUUUUUCAUUAAAUGACCUUAAAUCAGGUUGGAAUACCCCCCGAACUUU
Molecule: unclassified non-coding RNA, 301 nt
Filed under: Glomus sp.
Lineage: Eukaryota; Fungi; Glomeromycota; Glomeromycetes; Glomerales; Glomeraceae
Description: partial contains 5.8S ribosomal RNA and internal transcribed spacer 2
Rfam family: 5.8S ribosomal RNA (bases 1-71)
Source: RNAcentral